This 253-nucleotide ribosomal RNA is filed under the name uncultured bacterium. Its description in RNAcentral is "partial 16S ribosomal RNA". It matches the Rfam family "Bacterial small subunit ribosomal RNA", at positions 524 to 776 of the family's 1533-position model. The record is from RNAcentral.
UACGUAGGGUGCGAGCGUUGUCCGGAAUUAUUGGGCGUAAAGGGCUCGUAGGCGGUUUGUCGCGUCGGGAGUGAAAACCUUGGGCUUAACUCAGGGCUUGCUUUCGAUACGGGCAGACUAGAGGUAUGCAGGGGAGAACGGAAUUCCUGGUGUAGCGGUGAAAUGCGUAGAUAUCUGGAGGAACACCGGUGGCGAAGGCGGCAUCCUGGACCAACAUUGACGCUGAGGAGCGAAAGCCAGGGGAGCAAACGGG